GCCCGGAUGGCGGAAUGGUAGACGCAGGGGGCUUAAACCCCCCGGACCUUUGGGUCAUGCGGGUUCGACUCCCGCUCCGGGUA
This 83-nucleotide transfer RNA is filed under the name Ferrimicrobium acidiphilum. RNAcentral describes it as "tRNA-Leu". It matches the Rfam family "tRNA". From Rfam's summary of the family: Transfer RNA (tRNA) molecules are approximately 80 nucleotides in length. Their secondary structure includes four short double-helical elements and three loops (D, anti-codon, and T loops). The record is from RNAcentral. RNAcentral also lists the same sequence under 3 other names. Lineage: Bacteria; Bacillati; Actinomycetota; Acidimicrobiia; Acidimicrobiales; Acidimicrobiaceae.